Molecule: long non-coding RNA, 1032 nt
Organism: Nycticebus coucang (slow loris)
Lineage: Eukaryota; Metazoa; Chordata; Mammalia; Primates; Lorisidae
Exons: 3
Source: RefSeq, a predicted model, not a curated record
GGCUCCGCCCACCCACGCCCACAAUUUUGAUUGGAUAACUCUGGCCGCCUAUUAUUAUUAUGCCCGCCCUUCCAUUGUUAUUGGUCAACUCAGCCGUCUGUUUGAUAGAUCAGCGGUCUGUUGGUCAAUGCUGCUCGGCGGUUGCUGGGGACCGCCUACGGAAUCUACCACAGGCGGUGCAGGAGGACGGGGCGCGGCGGGGGACACAGCGGCCGCCGCGGGGCUCGAUCGGUGAAGGCAUGACUUCCCAGUACGGCAGGGAAAAUAGGGUGCAAGCCCAGAAACUAUUUACCCACCACCACUUGUUGAAAAACUGAUUCGAAGGCAUCUCCGGUUUGAACAAACAGAAAGUGCCAGGAUUUGAUGCAUCUCUGGUUUUGCACUGGAGACCUUUCACUACUAAAUAUCAAGACGAAAAAACUGGAAACUAAUCCGAAUCUUACUCAAAGUCAGAAUGGAACGAUUUGUGGUAACAGCACCACCUGCUAGAAACCGUUCUAAGACUGCAUUGUAUGUGACUCCCCUGGAUAGAGUCUCUGAGUUUGGAGGUGAGCUUCAUGAAGAUGGAGGAAAACUCUUCUGCACUUCUUGCAAUGUGGUUCUGAAUCAUGUUCGCAAGUCUGCCAUUAGUGACCAUCUCAAGUCAAAGACUCAUACCAAGAGGAAGGCAGAAUUUGAAGAGCAGAAUGUGAGAAAGAAACAGAGGCCCCUAACUGCCUCUCUUCAGUGCAACAGUACUGCACAAACAGAGAAAGUCAGUGUUAUCCAGGACUUUGUGAAAAUGUGUCUGGAAGCCAACAUCCCACUUGAGAAGGCUGAUCACCCAGCAGUCCGUGCUUUCCUGUCUCGCCAUGUGAAGAAUGGAGGCUCCAUACCUAAAUCAGACCAGCUGCGGAGAGCCUAUCUUCCUGAUGGAUAUGAGAAUGAAAAUCAGCUCCUCAACUCACAAGAUUGUUGACAAGGAGGUUACCACCAUUGUGAUCAAGAUAAAUAAUGUGGAGUAUUAAAGUUACGUGUUGAUUGUGUGGUUCA